This 602-nucleotide ribosomal RNA is filed under the name uncultured bacterium. RNAcentral describes it as "bacterial SSU rRNA". It matches the Rfam family "Bacterial small subunit ribosomal RNA", at positions 9 to 604 of the family's 1533-position model. The record is from RNAcentral.
GAGUUUGAUCCUGGCUCAGAUUGAACGCUGGCGGCAUGCUUUACACAUGCAAGUCGAACGGUAACAGGCCGCAAGGUGCUGACGAGUGGCGAACGGGUGAGUAAUGCAUCGGAACGUGCCCAAUCGUGGGGGAUAACGCAGCGAAAGCUGUGCUAAUACCGCAUACGAUCUACGGAUGAAAGCGGGGGACUCAGCAAUGGGCCUCGCGCGAUUGGAGCGGCCGAUGUCAGAUUAGGUAGUUGGUGGGGUAAAGGCUCACCAAGCCAACGAUCUGUAGCUGGUCUGAGAGGACGACCAGCCACACUGGAACUGAGACACGGUCCAGACUCCUACGGGAGGCAGCAGUGGGGAAUUUUGGACAAUGGGCGCAAGCCUGAUCCAGCAAUGCCGCGUGCAGGAAGAAGGCCUUCGGGUUGUAAACUGCUUUUGUACGGAACGAAAAGGCUCUGGUUAAUACCUGGGGCUCAUGACGGUACCGUAAGAAUAAGCACCGGCUAACUACGUGCCAGCAGCCGCGGUAAUACGCAGGGUGCGAGCGUUAAUCGGAAUUACUGGGCGUAAAGCGUGCGCAGGCGGUUUUGUAAGACAGUCGUGAAAUCCCC